This 198-nucleotide ribosomal RNA is filed under the name uncultured bacterium. Its description in RNAcentral is "partial 16S ribosomal RNA". It matches the Rfam family "Bacterial small subunit ribosomal RNA", at positions 1303 to 1500 of the family's 1533-position model. The record is from RNAcentral.
GGCUGAAAUUACGCCUUCCAUGAAGCCGGAAUUGCUAGUAAUGGCAGGUCAGCAUACUGCCGUGAAUACGUUCCCGGGCCUUGUACACACCGCCCGUCACACCAUGAGAGUUGGGAAUACUCGAAGCCUGUGAGCUAACGUAAGAGGCAGCAGUCGAAGGUAGAAUCAAUGAUUGGGGUGAAGUCGUAACAAGGUAUC